Molecule: long non-coding RNA, 342 nt
Organism: Marmota monax (woodchuck)
Lineage: Eukaryota; Metazoa; Chordata; Mammalia; Rodentia; Sciuridae
Exons: 4
Source: RefSeq, a predicted model, not a curated record
GAGUGACCUAGGAACUAAGAAGCCAACCAAAGCUUAACCUUGGAAGGUCCUCAUCACAGAAGCAGAGAGAUUUACCUACCUUUCCGCAGGGCCAACAUCACUGAGGGUUUCACUAAGUUGCUGAGGCUGGAGCUGAACUUGUGAUCUUCUUGCCUCUGCCUCCCAAGCCAUGGGACCAAGCCAUGGGAUCUAUCGGGUCUUAUUAUGUUACCCAGGCUGGCCUCGAAUUUAUGAUUCUCCUGCUUCAGCCUCCUGAAUUGUUGGAAUUACAGAUGGUUGAAUUGGAGGACAUGGAACUCAUGCAUGUGGAGGACCAACUGUAUUGUCAGUGAAAGUAAGCAG